GUUUGAGGGUGUUUUGCGGAUUGCAGUGUUAUGUGGUGGGUUGUGGUGUUUUGUGGUGGUUUAAUGGUGUUUUGUAGUAGUUUGAUGGUGUUAUGUGGUUGGUUGUGGUGUUGUGUGGUGGUUUGUUGUGGUGUUGUGUGGUGGUUUGUUGUGGUUUAAUGGUGUUUUGUUGUGGUUUAAUGGUGUUAUGUGGUUGGUUGUGGUGUUGUGUGGUGGUUUGUUGUGGUGUUAUGUGGUGGGUUGUGGUGUUGUGGUGUUAUGUGGUGGGUUGUGGUGUUGUGUGGUGGUUUGUUGUGGUUUAAUGGUGUUUUGUUGUGGUUUAAUGGUGUUAUGUGGUUGGUUGUGGUGUUGUGUGGUGGUUUGUUGUGGUGUUGUGUGGUGGGUUGUGGUGUUAUGUGGUGGGUUGUGGUGUUAUGUGGUGGGUUGUGGUGUUGUGUGGUGGGUUGUGGUGUUGUGUGGUGGUUUGUUGUGGUUUAAUGUUGUUUUGUUGUGGUUUAAUGGUGUUAUGUGGUUGGUUGUGGUGUUGUGUGGUGGUUUGUUGUGGUGUUGUGUGGUGGGUUGUGGUGUUAUGUGGUGGGUUGUGGUGUUGUGUGGUGGGUUGUGGUGUUGUGUGGUGGUUUGUUGUGGUGUUGUAUGGUGGGUUGUGGUGUUGUGUGGUGGUUUGUUGUGGUGUUGUGUGGUGGGUUGUGGUGUUGUGUGGUGGUUUGUUGUGGUGUUGUGUGGUGGGUUGUGGUGUUGUGUGGUGGUUUGUUGUGGUGUUUUGUGGUGGGUUGUGGUGUUGUGUGGUGGGUUGUGGUGUUGUGUGGUGGGUUGUGGUGUUGUGUGGUGGGUUGUGGUGUUGUGUGGUGGGUUGUGGUGUUAUGUGGUGGUUUGUUGUGAUGGGUUGUGGUGUUGUGUGGUGGGUUGUGGUGUUAUGUGGUGGGUUGUGGUGUUAUAUGGUGGUUUGUUGUGGUGUUUUGUGGUGGGUUGUGAUGUUGUGUGGUGGGUUAUGGUGUUGUGUGGUGUUGUGUGGUGGGUUGUAGUGUUGUGUGGUGGUUUGAUGGUGUUGUGUGGUGGGUUGUGGUGUUAUGUGGUGGUUUGUUGUGGUGGGUUUUGUUGUUUUUGGUGGGUUGUAGUGUUGUGUGGUGGGUUGUUGUGUUAUGUGGUGGGUUGUGGUGUUGUGUGGUGGGUUGUGGUGUUGUGUGGUGGGUUGUGGUGUUGCGUGGUGAGUUGUGGUGUUAUGUGGUGUGGUUGUGGUGUUGUGUGGUGGGUUGUGGUGUUGUGUGGUGGGUUGUGGUGUUGUGUGGUGGGUUGUGGUGUUAUGUGGUGGGUUGUGGUGUUGUGUGGUGGGUUGUGGUGUUGUGUGGUGUGUUGUGGUGUUGUGUGGUGGGUUGUGGUGUUGUGUGGUGGGUUGUGGUGUUGUGUGGUGGUUUGUUGUGGUGUUGUGUAGUGGGUUGUGGUUUUAUGUGGUUUUGUGUGGUGUUGUGUGGUGGGUUGUGGUGUUGUGUGGUGGGUUGUGGUGUUGUGUGGUGGGUUGUGGUGUUGUGUGGUGGGUUGUGGUGUUGUGUGGUGGUUUGUUGUGGUGUUGUGUAGUGGGUUGUGGUUUUAUGUGGUUUUGUGUGGUGUUGUGUGGUGGGUUGUGGUGUUGUGUGGUGGGUUGUGGUGUUGUGUGGUGGUUUGUUGUGGUGUUGUGUAGUGGGUUGUGGUUUUAUGUGGUUUUGUGUUGUGUUGUGGGUUUUGGUUUUGUGUGGUGGGUUGUAGUGUUAUGUGGUGGGUUGUGGUGUUGUGUGGUGGUUUGUUGUGGUGUUGUGUGGUGGUUUGUUGUGGUGUUGUGUGGUGGGUUGUGGUGUUGUGUGGUGGGUUGUGGUGUUGUGUGGUGGGUUGUGGUGUUGUGUGGUGUGUUGUGGUGUUGUGUGGUGGGUUGUGGUGUUGUGUGGUGGGUUGUGGUGUUGUGUGGU
This is a long non-coding RNA of Oncorhynchus tshawytscha (Chinook salmon), 1937 nucleotides long. NCBI's taxonomy places the organism in Eukaryota, Metazoa, Chordata, Actinopteri, Salmoniformes, Salmonidae. The record is from Ensembl.